RNAcentral lists this ribosomal RNA (439 nucleotides) under uncultured bacterium. RNAcentral's name for it is "bacterial SSU rRNA". It matches the Rfam family "Bacterial small subunit ribosomal RNA", at positions 958 to 1397 of the family's 1533-position model. The record is from RNAcentral.
AACGCGAAGAACCUUACCUGGGCUUGAACCGCACAGGACCAGCUUCAGAAAUGAGGCCUUCCCGCAAGGGACCUGUGUAGAGGUGCUGCAUGGCUGUCGUCAGCUCGUGCCGUGAGGUGUUGGGUUAAGUCCCGCAACGAGCGCAACCCUUACUCAUAGUUGCUACCCGCAAGGGAGAACUCUAUGAGGACUGCUCCGGAUAACGGAGAGGAAGGUGGGGAUGAGGUCAAGUCAGCAUGGCCUUUAUGUCCAGGGCUACACACGUGUUACAAUGCGCGGUACAAACCGUCGCGAACCCGCGAGGGGGAGCUAAUCGGAAAAAACUGCGCUCAGUUCGGAUUGCAGUCUGCAACUCGACUGCAUGAAGCUGGAAUCGCUAGUAAUGGCGUAUCAGAACGACGCCGUGAAUACGUUCCCGGGCCUUGUACACACCGCGAGC